Molecule: ribosomal RNA, 207 nt
Filed under: uncultured bacterium
Lineage: Bacteria
Description: partial 16S ribosomal RNA
Rfam family: Bacterial small subunit ribosomal RNA
Source: RNAcentral
GGCGCAGGCGGGAAGGAAAGUCAGACGUGAAAGCCCGGGGCUCAACCUCGGAAUUGCAUUUGAUACUUCCUUUCUUGAGGGUAGGCGGAGAAAACAGAAUUCCACAAGUAGCGGUGAAAUGCGUAGAUAUGUGGAAGAAUACCGGUGGCGAAGGCGGUUUUCUAGCUUAUACCUGACGCUGAGGCCCGAAAGCUAGGGGAGCGAACA